GUCCAAGGCUCAGGUAUCACCACCUGUGUCAAUGUCACGGAGACACCAGGUACCACCUUGAACCCUGUGACCACUAUGGAGACUUCCAUCACUCAGAGAACCCUUAGCCCUUCCCUGACGCCCCUCACCUGGCACCUGGAGAGCCGCUACCUGGCCCCACGCUUCUCGCCACUGCUCUUCUUCUUACUGCUCUCCUUCCUGAUGGGCUGCUGCCUGGUCGCCUUCUUCCUCCUGCAGCGGCAGCCCUGGGGACGGCAAGGCUCCAUAGAGGACCUCCUCCACUCCCAGUGUUGGGGACUGGCUUUGGGACCUACAAUAUGGCCAUGGCUGCUAUGAGCCCCUGCCCCAUCCUGCAGGGUCACUGGGGUGGAGAAGUCCUUAUCGUGCUCUCCUGGAUGCUGUUUGUAGCCUGUCUCAGCUAUGUCAAGGUGAUGCUGGGUGUGAUCUUGCGUGAUCGGAGUCGCAGCGCCCUCUUGUGGUGUGGGGCAGCAGUGCAGCUGGGCUCUCUGAUUGGUGCCCUGCUCAUGUUCCCGCUGGUUAAUGUACUGAAACUCUUCUCAUCUGCUGACUACUGCAGCCUGGACUGCUCAGCCUAGGCUCGCCUGGCCACCACAGGACACCAGGUACCCCCAUUGCUGAAGUUAAAAGCCAGAAGAGCCCAGAGACACAAAGGGUAACAACCCUUUGCCCUACUACCCCCACCCCAACCAACCCCAAUCCCACAUGGUCACAGAUCUGGGUUUGGGGAGCAGCAAGGCUAGGCCUGAGCUUUUUAACACAAUGACCUCCUCCCAACCUGGAGUUUCACAGUGCAGCCCCUCCCCCAACCCUGUGACCCAGUGCGUUUGAGCUGCAGUCUUCAUUCUCAGUCUUUGGAGAGAUCCGGUUUGUAGCGAUCAGCUGGAGGCAGCCUAAGGAUGUUAGGGGAAGAUCCCUGGAAGAUUAAGCUGCCCCUUGCUUACUGUGAGA
Molecule: long non-coding RNA, 969 nt
Filed under: Rattus norvegicus (Norway rat)
Lineage: Eukaryota; Metazoa; Chordata; Mammalia; Rodentia; Muridae
Description: long non-coding RNA NONRATT018726
Source: RNAcentral